GACGGAGGGUGCGAGCGUUGUUCGGAUUGACUGGGCGUAAAGGGCGUGUAGGCGGUUGGCCAAGUCCGAUGUGAAAGCCCGAGGCUCAGCCUCGGAAGUGCAUCAGAAACUAGUCAGCUAGAGCGCGAUAGAGGAGGGUGGAAUUCCUGGUGUAGCGGUGAAAUGCGUAGAUAUCAGGAGGAACACCGGCGGCGAAGGCGGCCCUCUGGAUCGUUGCUGACGCUGAGACGCGAAAGCGUGGGGAGCAAACAGG
RNAcentral lists this ribosomal RNA (253 nucleotides) under uncultured bacterium. RNAcentral describes it as "partial 16S ribosomal RNA". It matches the Rfam family "Bacterial small subunit ribosomal RNA", at positions 524 to 776 of the family's 1533-position model. The record is from RNAcentral.